AAAGAUAAACCCUUUCUCUUUUCCAAGUGCUGAAACUGGGUUUCUUCACAUAAGUGGUGCUGCAUGAUUUAUUCCAGUUCUCCAUACACUUACCUCCCAUGGACAUUUAACCAUAUAGAGAGAAAAAGCACUCCUCUAGCCAGGUCCCUGAGCUGAGGAGCUUCAGUUCCUCUUCAUAAUAGAAGACACAAAACAUAAGAGGCCUGUACUUUCUGCAAAAUGCAGCUUUCUUCAGCUGCAUUUCAAACUUCUCCAUCUUUAUGAAUUAGACUAAUGUUCAUAAAUGGAGGAGCAGUUUAAUUCCUUUGUCGGCUUAAGUGGUUUAAAUAGGAACCUCCUCUCUCCCUGGAAAGUGCCACAACCAACACAUAUCUAAGCUACACAGGAUGGGGCUCCCUUUUUAAUUCAAGCUGUGUGAUAGAUAUGAGGUUCAAGCUUCGCUGGGCUCUGCUUUGUAAUCCAGAACAGGGGUUCCCCAAGAGGAGGAAGCAGGAAAACUGGAAGAAAUCCACAGCUGCUGGAGCUACUGAACUCACCUGGGGUUCAUCUCAGAUGCUGCUUGCUAGGCUGUUGUUUCUUGCGGCUAUGGCUCCAUCUACUCUACCAGUGUCAUGCACAUCCACCCUUUCUGACAGGGACAGAUUUCUCACUGCUGACAUCUCUCUCUGCACUGCUGCCUCUACCAUUCUAAGCAGUUCCCUAGAAUGAAAAAUGUGCUGAAAAGGAAGAUGUUCACAGGGAAACAACAAUGACAAAAAAUUGCCAAGUACUAGUUAGUGGGAGAGCAUUCACUCAAGCUUCACAGUGACUUCCUCAGUAUGUUAUUCAAGUAAAGAGAAAGAAAACUU
Pseudopipra pipra is the source of this 848-nucleotide long non-coding RNA. RefSeq lists it as uncharacterized. NCBI's taxonomy places the organism in Eukaryota, Metazoa, Chordata, Aves, Passeriformes, Pipridae. The record is from RefSeq and is a predicted model, not a curated record. The transcript has 2 exons.